GACGAACGCUGGCGGCGUGCUUAACACAUGCAAGUCGAACGGUAAGGCCCUUCGGGGUACACGAGUGGCGAACGGGUGAGUAACACGUGGGUGAUCUGCCCUGCACUUCGGGAUAAGCCUGGGAAACUGGGUCUAAUACCGGAUAGGACCACUGCCUGCAUGGGUGGUGGUGGAAAGCUUUUGCGGUGUGGGAUGGGCCCGCGGCCUAUCAGCUUGUUGGUGGGGUGAUGGCCUACCAAGGCGACGACGGGUAGCCGGCCUGAGAGGGCGACCGGCCACACUGGGACUGAGACACGGCCCAGACUCCUACGGGAGGCAGCAGUGGGGAAUAUUGCACAAUGGGCGCAAGCCUGAUGCAGCGACGCCGCGUGAGGGAUGAAGGUCUUCGGAUUGUAAACCUCUUUCAGUAGGGACGAAGCGAAAGUGACGGUACCUAAAGAAGAAGCACCGGCUAACUACGUGCCAGCCGCCGCAGUAA
This 478-nucleotide ribosomal RNA is filed under the name uncultured bacterium. RNAcentral describes it as "partial 16S ribosomal RNA". It matches the Rfam family "Bacterial small subunit ribosomal RNA", at positions 28 to 523 of the family's 1533-position model. The record is from RNAcentral.